AACGAACGCUGGCGGCAUGCCUAACACAUGCAAGUCGAACGAAGGCUUCGGCCUUAGUGGCGCACGGGUGCGUAACGCGUGGGAAUCUGCCCUUGGGUACGGAAUAACAGUGAGAAAUUACUGCUAAUACCGUAUGAUGACGUAAGUCCAAAGAUUUAUCGCCCAGGGAUGAGCCCGCGUAGGAUUAGCUAGUUGGUGGGGUAAAGGCCUACCAAGGCGACGAUCCUUAGCUGGUCUGAGAGGAUGAUCAGCCACACUGGGACUGAGACACGGCCCAGACUCCUACGGGAGGCAGCAGUGGGGAAUAUUGGACAAUGGGCGAAAGCCUGAUCCAGCAAUGCCGCGUGAGUGAUGAAGGCCUUAGGGUUGUAAAGCUCUUUUACCCGGGAAGAUAAUGACUGUACCGGGAGAAUAAGCCCCGGCUAACUCCGUGCCAGCCGCCGCGGUAA
RNAcentral lists this ribosomal RNA (449 nucleotides) under uncultured bacterium. RNAcentral describes it as "partial 16S ribosomal RNA". It matches the Rfam family "Bacterial small subunit ribosomal RNA", at positions 29 to 523 of the family's 1533-position model. The record is from RNAcentral.